UACGUAGGUGGCAAGCGUUAUCCGGAAUUAUUGGGCGUAAAGCGCGCGCAGGCGGUCCUUUAAGUCUGAUGUGAAAGCCCACGGCUCAACCGUGGAGGGUCAUUGGAAACUGGGGGACUUGAGUGCAGAAGAGGAGAGCGGAAUUCCACGUGUAGCGGUGAAAUGCGUAGAGAUCCGGAGGAACACCAGUGGCGAAGGCGGCCGCCUGGGCCUGACCUGACGCUGAGGCGCGAAAGCGUGGGGAGCGAUCCGG
RNAcentral lists this ribosomal RNA (253 nucleotides) under uncultured bacterium. Its description in RNAcentral is "partial 16S ribosomal RNA". It matches the Rfam family "Bacterial small subunit ribosomal RNA", at positions 524 to 776 of the family's 1533-position model. The record is from RNAcentral.